Macrobrachium nipponense is the source of this 472-nucleotide long non-coding RNA. RefSeq lists it as uncharacterized. The transcript has 3 exons. NCBI's taxonomy places the organism in Eukaryota, Metazoa, Arthropoda, Malacostraca, Decapoda, Palaemonidae. The record is from RefSeq and is a predicted model, not a curated record.
UCGAAGAGAACCAGCCUUCCGUGACAUCGAGUAUAAAAGGAACCCGGAGUCGCGACCACAGUCAGUAGUCUCAUUCAGCUCCUCCGAGAUCUCUCGCGUCCAGAAGUCAUUCAGCUCUUGACCAUGUUUGCUAAGCUUAUUAUGUUGGUCAUGGUUAUGGCCACCAUCCUCCUAGCAAGUGCAGAGGCACAUCCCGGAUUCUUCGGCGGCUACGGAGGAGGCUACGGCGGAUAUGGGGGUGGUGGUGGUGGUGGUGGAGGCUACGGAGGUGGGGGCGGACGCCCCCCAUUCGUGCCCGUCUUAGGUUGAUCCAGGUCGCGAAUACGGAUAGUUGCAGUGGACUGAACAACUUGCUGUGUUUACACCAUUUACUUCAUUCUAAUUGGUCUACUUUUCAUCUUUAUUAAAAAGAAUUCUUUAUUAUUUUUCGGCUUCAACUGUCCCUCCACAAAUUAAAAUUGUGAAAAAGUAA